Long non-coding RNA from Catharus ustulatus (Swainson's thrush), 1004 nucleotides. RefSeq lists it as uncharacterized. The record is from RefSeq and is a predicted model, not a curated record. Lineage: Eukaryota; Metazoa; Chordata; Aves; Passeriformes; Turdidae. The transcript is spliced from 2 exons.
CCGAGGGCAGUUCACCAUGGAGCUCAUGGAGCAGAGAACACGGGGUGGUGACCCCCAGCCCCCUCCCCCAGGAAGGGCCAGGCUGCACUCCAGCUCCCCUUCCCAAAGGCCAAGGAGGGAGGCCUGCUGUGCACAAACAGCUGCUGUUGCUGAGGAUAUCAAACGUCCUAGAGAAGAGCCUCGUUAAAGUAUAAACCUAAACUUUGUCCUCUGCAGUGCAGGUCAAAGUACCCAAUAACUAUCUGAGCUCUACCUGCUGAGCAUGACACCCUAUGGUACGUGAUAGCCCUUGGGUCAGCUGGACUCAGCUGUGCAGCCCUGGACUCCUCACUGUGAGAGAGGCAGAAGAGGCAUUGUCUCUGCUCAGCAAUAAUGAAACAUCUCUGUUAUCAACCAUUUCCAGCACAAAUCCAAACCACAGCCACACUCCAGCUACUCUGAAGAAAACGAACUCAAUCCCAGCCAAACCCAACACACCUGACAACUGGCUGCUGGAGACAAAGUCACAUCUGGCACAAUCUCCACGGUUUGGAAUAUGCAAAUUCCAAAGUGCAGUAGACAUUCCUGUGCUGUGCUGCAGUCAUGGCAAGGAGCUUACUGUGCUCAGCUCUGCCUGCAGUGACUACUUCUGGCUUGGGCCAAACAAUAAUUUGGAAAUAAAACAGUGUGAGCAGUGCAGACUUCCAAAGGACAAAGAUAACAGGGUAUAACCUCUAAUGGCUAAAAACAGUCUCAUCAUUACUAUCUCGUUAUCCAGUACUGAAAAAGCUGUUCAGAUACUUUAGGUGUUAUCUAGAGCCAAGAGAUCUUUUCUGUUUAAUUUCACCAUGUGGUGCACUGAUACUACUGAUAUGAAAAUCUUCAAGUUUUUAACUACAAAUAAUAUGUGGCUGGAUAAUGGUUUCAGUUAUGGUCAUCAAGGUCUCUGCAAAAGAAAAGCACAGACUCACUACAUCACUACACUGAUGCCCACAAGUCGGCAGGGUAUGAAUUUGUACUUUCCA